Molecule: ribozyme, 72 nt
Filed under: unclassified sequences
Description: HDV ribozyme from F. prausnitzii
Rfam family: HDV ribozyme from F. prausnitzii
Source: RNAcentral
GCUGCUCAAACCUUCACACACCUCUUCGUGGUGAGCAGUAGGCAACGAUCUAUGAUCGGCAGAGAUGUGAAG